This is a non-coding RNA of Acanthosepion pharaonis, 111 nucleotides long. The record is from the annotation of a GenBank genome assembly. Lineage: Eukaryota; Metazoa; Mollusca; Cephalopoda; Sepiida; Sepiidae.
GACGGCCAUAUCGCAUUGAAACACUGGUUCUCAAACGAUCACCGAAGUUAACCGACGUAGAGCCUGGUCAGUACCAAGAUGGGUGACCGCUUGAGAAUACGCGGUUCUGUA